RNAcentral lists this ribosomal RNA (566 nucleotides) under Streptomyces sp. 419B01. RNAcentral's name for it is "bacterial SSU rRNA". It matches the Rfam family "Bacterial small subunit ribosomal RNA", at positions 93 to 671 of the family's 1533-position model. Lineage: Bacteria; Bacillati; Actinomycetota; Actinomycetes; Kitasatosporales; Streptomycetaceae. The record is from RNAcentral.
UAGUGGCGAACGGGUGAGUAACACGUGGGCAAUCUGCCCUUCACUCUGGGACAAGCCCUGGAAACGGGGUCUAAUACCGGAUAUCACUCCUGCAGUGCAUCUGCGGGAGUUGAAAGCUCCGGCGGUGAAGGAUGAGCCCGCGGCCUAUCAGCUUGUUGGUGAGGUAAUGGCUCACCAAGGCGACGACGGGUAGCCGGCCUGAGAGGGCAGACCGGCCACACUGGGACUGAGACACGGCCCAGACUCCUACGGGAGGCAGCAGUGGGGAAUAUUGCACAAUGGGCGAAAGCCUGAUGCAGCGACGCCGCGUGAGGGAUGACGGCCUUCGGGUUGUAAACCUCUUUCAGCAGGGAAGAAGCGAAAGUGACGGUACCUGCAGAAGAAGCGCCGGCUAACUACGUGCCAGCAGCCGCGGUAAUACGUAGGGCGCAAGCGUUGUCCGGAAUUAUUGGGCGUAAAGAGCUCGUAGGCGGCUUGUCACGUCGGGUGUGAAAGCCCGGGGCUUAACCCCGGGUCUGCAUUCGAUACGGGCUAGCUAGAGUGUGGUAGGGGAGAUCGGAAUUCCU